AGUGAACGCUGGCGGAAUGCUUUACACAUGCAAGUCGAGCGGCAGCGCGGGGGGCAACCCUGGCGGCGAGCGGCGAACGGGUGAGUAACAUAUCGGAACGUACCCAGUGGUGGGGGAUAACACAUCGAAAGAUGUGCUAAUACCGCAUACGACCUGAGGGUGAAGGGGGGGAUCGCAAGACCUCUCGCCGUUGGAGCGGCCGAUAUCGGAUUAGCUAGUUGGUGAGGUAAAGGCUCACCAAGGCGACGAUCCGUAGCUGGUCUGAGAGGACGACCAGCCACACUGGAACUGAGACACGGUCCUGACUCCUACGGGAGGCAGCAGUGGGGAAUUUUGGACAAUGGGGGCAACCCUGAUUCAGCCAUUCCGCGUGAGUGAAGAAGGCCUUCGGGUUGUAAAGCUCUUUCGGCAGGAACGAAACGGUGUGAGUUAAUACCUCAUAUCAAUGACGGUACCUGAAGAAGAAGCACCGGCUAACUACGUGCCAGCAGCCGCGGUAA
RNAcentral lists this ribosomal RNA (500 nucleotides) under uncultured bacterium. RNAcentral describes it as "partial 16S ribosomal RNA". It matches the Rfam family "Bacterial small subunit ribosomal RNA", at positions 29 to 523 of the family's 1533-position model. The record is from RNAcentral.